RNAcentral lists this ribosomal RNA (326 nucleotides) under uncultured Spirochaetota bacterium. RNAcentral describes it as "bacterial SSU rRNA". It matches the Rfam family "Bacterial small subunit ribosomal RNA", at positions 29 to 351 of the family's 1533-position model. Lineage: Bacteria; Pseudomonadati; Spirochaetota. The record is from RNAcentral.
AACGAACGCUGGCGGCGUGUCUUAAGCAUGCAAGUCGUGCGGCAAGGCGGGGCAACCCGCCCUAGAGCGGCGGACUGGUGAGUAACGCGUGGGUGAUCUGCCCUUGGGAUGGGGAUAGCCAUUAGAAAUAGUGGGUAAUACCGAAUACGUUCAGUAGGCCACGGUCUACUGAGGAAAAGCGCUUCGGCGCUGCCCGAGGAUGAGCCCGCGUCCCAUUAGCUAGUUGGUGAGGUAAGAGCCCACCAAGGCGAUGAUGGGUAGGCGGCCUGAGAGGGUGUACGCCCACACUGGGACUGAGAUACGGCCCAGACUCCUACGGGAGGCUG